This 74-nucleotide transfer RNA is filed under the name Anaerolineae bacterium. RNAcentral's name for it is "tRNA-Met". It matches the Rfam family "tRNA". From Rfam's summary of the family: Transfer RNA (tRNA) molecules are approximately 80 nucleotides in length. Their secondary structure includes four short double-helical elements and three loops (D, anti-codon, and T loops). Lineage: Bacteria; Bacillati; Chloroflexota; Anaerolineae. The record is from RNAcentral.
UGCGGGGUAGAGGAGUGGUUGUCCUCGUCAGGCUCAUAACCUGAAGACCGAUGGUUCAAAUCCAUCCUCCGCAA